Mugil cephalus (flathead mullet) is the source of this 180-nucleotide long non-coding RNA. RefSeq lists it as uncharacterized. Lineage: Eukaryota; Metazoa; Chordata; Actinopteri; Mugiliformes; Mugilidae. The transcript has 3 exons. The record is from RefSeq and is a predicted model, not a curated record.
UGAUGAUCCAGAGGUUAAAUCAGCAGCAGCUUGUGUGUAGAAAGACUCUGACUGGACCAUGUUACUGGGAGGUGGAGUCAAGAGGAGAGCUUCAUCCACAUGUUUCUCAUUUAACAUCAUCAACAGAGCUGCAAUCAAUCUAUUCUAACAGAACCGACAAAUAAAUAAAUAAAUGAUUCA